Molecule: long non-coding RNA, 608 nt
Organism: Vigna radiata var. radiata (mung bean)
Lineage: Eukaryota; Viridiplantae; Streptophyta; Magnoliopsida; Fabales; Fabaceae
Exons: 2
Source: RefSeq, a predicted model, not a curated record
GACCAUUUUUAUUUCUUUUUUUUAGCAAAGCUGCUUCUUGGUAACGUUCUCAAGGAAGGAACUGCAAUUUCUAUCAACCCUCUAGUGAUUUGGGCUUGGGCAGGACUCCUUAUCAAUGCCAUCAACAGCAUUCCUGCCGGAGAGCUUGAUGGAGGGCGAAUUUCUUUCGCUCUAUGGGGAAGAAAGGCUUCAUUACGUUUGACAGGAGUUUCAAUUGCGUUGCUGGGACUCUCGUCACUGCUUAAUGAUGUAGCUUUCUACUGGGUAGUUCUCAUUUUCUUCUUGCAAAGAGGUCCAAUUGCACCACUCUCGGAGGAAUUAACUGAUCCUGGUGAGAAAUAUGUUGCUAUUGGAAUAACAGUUUUGCUUUUAGGCUUGUUGGUGUGCCUCCCAUACCCUUUCCCAUUUACAGACGAAACCCUCACAAGUUUCUAGACAUAGUUGCCUCAUAAACUCUGGCAGUGUCCCUUUAGACUGCUAGAAAAUUUUAUAAAUGAUUAGAAGGUAGGAUUUUUGGUGAAUUAUACUUUCGACGUUGGCUCAUACCGGGUGAAUAAUCACACGUCAAUUUUUUAGGCUGCAUACAUCCCUAGUUUAGUUAUUCAUAA